GCUUACGGCCAUACCAACUUAGGCACGCCCGAUCUCGUCUGAUCUCGGAAGCUAAGCAGGGUCGGGCCUGGUUAGUACUUGGAUGGGUGACGGCCUGGGAAUACCAGGUGCUGUAAGCA
RNAcentral lists this ribosomal RNA (119 nucleotides) under Gadus morhua (Atlantic cod). The record is from RNAcentral. Lineage: Eukaryota; Metazoa; Chordata; Actinopteri; Gadiformes; Gadidae.